CCCUUAGAUGUUCUGGGCUGCACGCGCGCUACACUGACACACUCAACGAGUUCCUAGCUUGAAAGGGUUGGGUAAUCAUUUGAGCGUGUGUCGUGAUGGGGAUAGAAUAUUGUAAUUAUUGCUCUUUAACGAGGAAUUCCUAGUAGGCGUACGUUAUCAGCGUGCGUCGAUUACGUCCCUGCCCUUUGUACACACCGCCCGUCGCUCCUACCGAUUGGGUGAUCCGGUGAAUGAUUCGGACCGGCGUAGUGCUAGCUACUAGUGCUGUACUGGAAAGUUUAGUGAACCUUAUCACUUAGAGGAAGGAGAAGUCGUAACA
Molecule: ribosomal RNA, 319 nt
Filed under: uncultured eukaryote
Lineage: Eukaryota
Description: partial 18S ribosomal RNA
Rfam family: Eukaryotic small subunit ribosomal RNA
Source: RNAcentral